CAGCAGCCGCGGGAACACGGAGGGGGCUAGCGUUGUUCGGAAUUACUGGGCGUAAAGCGCACGUAGGCGGCUUGGUAAGUUAGAGGUGAAAGCCUGGAGCUCAACUCCAGAAUUGCCUUUAAGACUGCCGAGCUAGCAGGUGAGAGAGGUAAGUGGAAUUCCGAGUGUAGAGGUGAAAUUCGUAGAUAUUCGGAAGAACACCAGUGGCGAAGGCGGCUUACUGGCUCAUACUGGACGCUGAGGUGCGAAAGCGUGGGGAGCAAACAGGAUUAGAUACCCCUGUAGUCCCUGUCUCUUAUAC
This 301-nucleotide ribosomal RNA is filed under the name uncultured bacterium. RNAcentral's name for it is "partial 16S ribosomal RNA". It matches the Rfam family "Bacterial small subunit ribosomal RNA", at positions 509 to 807 of the family's 1533-position model. The record is from RNAcentral.